CAAUGAUCUCAAAUCAGACAAGACUACCCGCUGAAUUUAAGCAUAUCAAUAAGCGGAGGAAAUGGGCG
This 68-nucleotide ribosomal RNA is filed under the name Amphibiocystidium ranae. Its description in RNAcentral is "partial 28S ribosomal RNA". It matches the Rfam family "Eukaryotic large subunit ribosomal RNA", at positions 1 to 65 of the family's 3401-position model. Lineage: Eukaryota; Ichthyosporea; Dermocystida. The record is from RNAcentral.